This 401-nucleotide long non-coding RNA is filed under the name Chinchilla lanigera (long-tailed chinchilla). RNAcentral describes it as "lncRNA (ENSCLAG00000026886.1)". Lineage: Eukaryota; Metazoa; Chordata; Mammalia; Rodentia; Chinchillidae. The record is from RNAcentral.
UUUCUUUCCUUAAAUGCACUCCUCAUAUUCUCUUUCCUUUUGACAGGAUUAAAAGAGCCAAGGAGAAUGUCUUGGAAAGGCGUGUGCGUAUUCUUAUUUUUCAAGCAGCUGUUUCCCUGGCUGCUCACUUAAAUAGCUAAUAAGGAAAAAAAUCUUACGGAACAUUUUUUUUUCAAUAUUUGCUCCUCAACGUGUUUUAUUACCCAUAGUCACAUCCACAUAAAAAUUGGGCCCAGAUAUUUUUUACAAAUAAUGCACCAUCUCAGAAUUUUUCUGGAGAAACUCAUUGAAGUCACUUUUAUUUUUAAUAAAAAUAUGACAAUAUAAAAACAAACAUAAGAAGUAAUUUGAAACAAUGUUGAUUACGCAGAAGUCUUUGAGCAAUACUCAGGAGAAGGUCA